CUUGAUAGGUACAUGAUGCCUAUUUUGUCAGAAAAAGUAAGAAGAACCUGGAGGAUUGCUUGAGCCCAGGAGUUCUGGGCUGUAGUGUGCUAUGCUGAUUGGGUGUCUGCACUAAGAUUGGCAUCAAUAUGGUGACCUCCUGGGAGCAGGGGACCACCAGGUUGCCUAAGGAGGGGUGAACUGGCCCAGGUUGGAAACAGAGCAGGUCAAAACUCUCGUGCUGAUCAGUAGUGGGAUUGCGCCUGUGAAUAGCCACUGCACUCCAGCCUGGACAACAUAGCGAGACCCCAUCUCU
Aotus nancymaae (Ma's night monkey) is the source of this 295-nucleotide unclassified non-coding RNA. It matches the Rfam family "Metazoan signal recognition particle RNA". From Rfam's summary of the family: The signal recognition particle (SRP) is a universally conserved ribonucleoprotein. It is involved in the co-translational targeting of proteins to membranes. Lineage: Eukaryota; Metazoa; Chordata; Mammalia; Primates; Aotidae. The record is from Ensembl.